Non-coding RNA from Bactrocera oleae (olive fruit fly), 3746 nucleotides. Lineage: Eukaryota; Metazoa; Arthropoda; Insecta; Diptera; Tephritidae. The record is from RefSeq and is a predicted model, not a curated record.
AAGAACGUGCAUCCAACUGACACUUGAUGGAAUUUGUAAAAAUUUGUUGGUAAAUUUCUGUUGAUUAACUGAAUGAGUUGAAGGCGCGCUUAUAUGCAUUUAGAUAUUUUGAAUAAUUUAUUAGUCCAAAUAAAUAAACAAACAAUUUCGAUCGCAAUUUUCGUGAAAGUGUUGGAGAAUCGUAAAUGCAGUUUCGGCUACAUGCGUCCACAGAAUGAUAUAAAUUUAAAAGAGUUAUCGAGUAUUUCACUGCGAAAAUAAGAAUUCUAAAUUCAACGUUCAUAUUACUAAUUAAAUUAGCAACCAAGAAUCGGAAUUUUCCGUGAGAAUAAAGAAAUCUUAAUAUAUCUAUGGUUAUAAUAAUGGAAGAUAUCAACUCAGAUAUAAUAAGCGCAGCAGCUACUACGCGCAUAAACCCCAUAUUUGCCCUCUCUAUAUCUGCACCAAAGUAUGUGUCGGUGUUCCGCAUCGAUGGAGUUCCUAUUAUACCGCCAUUAAUGACCGCCGACAAGCGACGACAAAUGCAGAAAUUAAAAGAAAAGGCUAUUAAAAUAGAGCAACGCUUAGAGGAAAAUCGACAUAGGAAACAGAGAUAUAAUUUAGAAUACGGCACAGUGCUUGAAGAACUAAACGAAGAUACAGAUGUUAUAUAUAAUAAAAACGAAAGUAGUAGUAACUGCAGUUUAUCUGAGCAUUUAAUAGAACUUGAUGCUCAGCGUAUAGAAGCAGAAAAAUCGUAUAUGCUACUUUCAGAUAUUCUGACACAAAAUGAAAAUGAAGCUAAAUUAUCUACGCCUAAACAAAAUCGGACAAAAAUAAUUCGUCAAACUGCCGGUGAAUCUAGUGAAAUUAAUGUAGAAAUGCAACAGUCGAACUCUUUAGAAAAUAAUCUAAUGCAGCGUAUGCAUAAGUUACAAAAAUCAGAAACUUUGAUUUACGACCAUCGUUCUAAUACAGUCAUCAGCCCUUUGACAGAGGAUGAAGUGCAAAUCUUCCAACAACAACAGCAACAAAUAAAUCUGGAUCAUCCAGAUGAAAAGCCAAUUGGACAAAAAGUUGAAUUAAUAGAAGAAGAUAAAAAUGCAAUUAUAAAUUGCGCUGCACGUCAGAAAUCAGAUAAGGUUUUAAAGAAAAUACCAUCAAUAUGUAUUGAUCCACCAACACCAAUAAUCAGUUCGCGUUCAUUUAUUGAUACUCUUAAAGAACAAAGUAGUAUUGACGCUAUAAAUGUGAAUAAACAAGAAACACCGAAAAAAAAUGUUAACAAGUCAUUGCAGGAAGAACUAACUUCAGACGAAACCUCCAACUAUAUGGAGUCCCCCACAAAUCUUGACCGAGAUUUGAAAACUCAUCACAAAGUAACGAACAUUACCAGCAAAAUCCUUAAAUUUGAAAAUUUUUCCGUAACAGAGACAAAAAGCGAAAAACCCAAGUGUUCUAACAUAAAGCCACCACAGAGAUCGGCAACAAGUCCAUCAUUGAAAUCAUUACUAUCCGAGAGAACACAGUCCAAAAUAAAAUCUCUCGAUGUUAACAGAACAACGCAAAAUGAAAACUGCUUAGUGCGCUCAAACUCCUUUACACUAGAUUAUCCUUCGAAAGCAUUAAUUGAACACAUUCGUCAACAACAAGUACCUAAUGACAUUUAUCCUACCAAACGUUCCAACUUAUUUUCGAUGAGCGCCACACGCGACACUGUCGAAUCAAAGGCGAAACGUGUGCAAAAAGUUGAUCUUAAGCCACGCACACAACCAAUGCGCAUACAACUAAAGCCUUCAAUCACAAAUAUUACAAGUCCAUCCUCAACACACCAUUCAGGCAUUAAAAGUAAACGUUCACCUUAUGAGCAAAGAUUAAUUAAACCGAAAAUUGGACGUCAGCUGAAAAAAUCUAUUUCCGGUACAACCGCUAUCAAACAAAUGAAACCCACACCUUCGAUGCCAAGCAUACAAACUGCUAAAGUAAACACGGAAAUUGCACGCGAACGUCCAGCAGGCAGUCAACAAUACAACGGUAUUGAAGAUGAACACCGUCAAAAAUUUCUCGAGCUAUUGGCGCAACAAAAACGUGAACAACAACGUAUGCAGCAGGUAUUCGAAGAGCAACAAAGGUAUUUGCUAGAGCAGUUGACAAAUAAAAUAGGCAACGUACAAAUACAACAUGCUGUAGAUCAUGUAAACAACAAAAGAGUUGACAUUAGUUAUCAUGGCUCGGUUGAAAAUUCACCCACAGCAAGGUCAGACUGUGCUGAGACCUUCACUUUACAGUCGCCAACAAUGAGUGCCAACAGUUCUGUUGCAACAAAUUCUUUGGACUUGAUGUCAGGUGCAAUCCAACUACCAUCGUUGGAGUUAUCUAUCGACUCAUCAACAUUACCGGCGACAUCGCAAAGCAGUAAUACCUGCACUCCUCGGCGGCGGCUCUUUUCACACGACCUUUCGCCAACAGCUUCAAACAGAAGUGUGUCGAUCAACAGCAACCACAGUGGAAUAACUAAUAGUGUUGGACGCUCGAAUGGCACUAGUAGUGGAGCGUCAAACAGUCGCCUUUACAAUAACAGUUGAUAACAUUUCAGUGAAAGGAGAAGCAUUUUCAAACGAUAUUCAAAUCUAACACAUAAAUUAAAAUAACUAAUCCCAUAACGAUGAUCUCUCACUGUGCCUUAUCUUGUAAACAAUCAACCAAUCAAUCAAAUCUAGCCGCAAACAGUCAGUACUGCAUUACAAGUAUGUGCUGGAGUGUGGGAAACAUGAAAGGUUUCGUUGGGAGACACACUUGUGCAUACAUUUAUGAUUUACCAUUAUAACAAAUUUGGGCACUUCGCAUUUGAUAUUAUUAUUUUCCAUUUAAUCGUUCACAUGUAUUUUACUACACACCUACAUAUACACAGAAGGAUUGUACAUAUGCAUUUGAAUAUACUUGUUUUUAAAACAACUUCAGUUUGAAUUUCUGCUAAAAUUUCUAAUUUACAAGAUAACACUUGUAAAAUUUCAACGAUAUUUUAGAAUAACACUUAUGUAUAUAUUAUACUUACACAAUGUCCUUGCGGCUAUUAUCAAGUGCCUAAAUUAUCUAGAAAAAUCUUAACAAAUGUCAUAUUAUGAAUAAUUUAGUUAAUAAAAAUUCUAACUCUCACACAUACAAUUUUUAAUUCAAAUUAUAAUAACAAUAACAUAUGUACAUUGGUUACCGAAAACUUUUUGUCCUAAAAAAACAGCGUCAGUCGAUGAUUACCAACACAUGCGUAGAAGCUGAGCGACGAGCGUCUGCAGCGACUAAGAUCAAUGCGUUCGUACGUGGUUAUUUGGUGCGUCGUCUAUUUCAAACGGAACAAGUUCAGCGUGUUGUACAGACAAUCAAAGACACGUUAAUAUUCGUUUUGAACUUACACAUGGAGACCUGCGAGGACCCUGUAGAAGCGAGUGCUCCUGUUAAUAUCAAACUUAAAGCACGACUUUUAAAGCAGUUAAUUUCUUCGACGCGCACCCUUCAUUUGAUUCUUUUCCAAACGACGCCUAAGGAACGCAUGGAAAUAAUUAGUCGUGAUCGCAAACGUAUCAAAACCAAAAUGCUGAAAAAUAAUCUGAAAUGGUCACCCCGCAUUCAAACCUGAUACAUAAGGGCUAUCCCAUCUUCCAGCACGUUCUAUUAUAUAUUAAUAAAAAUUAUUCAAUAACUGAACUGUGAAUUUCUUAUGCACUUAAGGGAGCCAAGCUCAUUUUCAAAUAAACCAAACUACAUUUUUA